GUCGACGGUGAAGCAGAGCUUGCUCUGUGGAUCAGUGGCGAACGGGUGAGUAACACGUGAGCAACCUGCCCCUGACUCUGGGAUAAGCGCUGGAAACGGCGUCUAAUACUGGAUAUGUGACGUGACCGCAUGGUCUGCGUCUGGAAAGAAUUUCGGUUGGGGAUGGGCUCGCGGCCUAUCAGCUUGUUGGUGAGGUAAUGGCUCACCAAGGCGUCGACGGGUAGCCGGCCUGAGAGGGUGACCGGCCACACUGGGACUGAGACACGGCCCAGACUCCUACGGGAGGCAGCAGUGGGGAAUAUUGCACAAUGGGCGGAAGCCUGAUGCAGCAACGCCGCGUGAGGGAUGACGGCCUUCGGGUUGUAAACCUCUUUUAGCAGGGAAGAAGCGAAAGUGACGGUACCUGCAGAAAAAGCGCCGGCUAACUACGUGCCAGCAGCCGCGGUAAUACGUAGGGCGCAAGCGUUAUCCGGAAUUAUUGGGCGUAAAGAGCUCGUAGGCGGUUUGUCGCGUCUGCUGUGAAAUCCGGAGGCUCAACCUCCGGCCUGCAGUGGGUACGGGCAGACUAGAGUGCGGUAGGGGAGAUUGGAAUUCCUGGUGUAGCGGUGGAAUGCGCAGAUAUCAGGAGGAACACCGAUGGCGAAGGCAGAUCUCUGGGCCGUAACUGACGCUGAGGAGCGAAAGGGUGGGGGAGCAA
This 697-nucleotide ribosomal RNA is filed under the name Microbacterium sp. RNAcentral's name for it is "bacterial SSU rRNA". It matches the Rfam family "Bacterial small subunit ribosomal RNA", at positions 61 to 771 of the family's 1533-position model. Lineage: Bacteria; Bacillati; Actinomycetota; Actinomycetes; Micrococcales; Microbacteriaceae. The record is from RNAcentral.